UAAGGCGGAUUUAUCUGCCGCUCAUGGAUGGGCCUGCGGUGCAUUAGCUAGUUGGUGAGAUAGUAGCUCACCAAGGCGACGAUGCAUAGCCGACCUGAGAGGGUGAUCGGCCACACUGGGACUGAGACACGGCCCAGACUCCUACGGGAGGCAGCAGUAGGGAAUCUUCCGCAAUGGACGCAAGUCUGACGGAGCAACGCCGCGUGAGUGAUGAAGGGUUUCGGCUCGUAAAACUCUGUUGUUAAGGAAGAACACUUGAGGUAGUAACUGGCCUUGAGAUGACGGUA
Molecule: ribosomal RNA, 287 nt
Filed under: uncultured bacterium
Lineage: Bacteria
Description: partial 16S ribosomal RNA
Rfam family: Bacterial small subunit ribosomal RNA
Source: RNAcentral